UACGUAGGGUGCAAGCGUUGUCCGGAAUUAUUGGGCGUAAAGAGCUCGUAGGCGGUCUGUCGCGUCUGCUGUGAAAACCUAGGGCUUAACCCUGGGCGUGCAGUGGGUACGGGCAGACUAGAGUGCGGUAGGGGAGACUGGAAUUCCUGGUGUAGCGGUGAAAUGCGCAGAUAUCAGGAGGAACACCGGUGGCGAAGGCGGGUCUCUGGGCCGUAACUGACGCUGAGGAGCGAAAGCCAGGGGAGCAAACGGG
RNAcentral lists this ribosomal RNA (253 nucleotides) under uncultured bacterium. RNAcentral's name for it is "partial 16S ribosomal RNA". It matches the Rfam family "Bacterial small subunit ribosomal RNA", at positions 524 to 776 of the family's 1533-position model. The record is from RNAcentral.